CAAGGAGUAGUUUAUUAAAAUUAUAAUUUUGGAGAUUAUAGAUAGGGUUUUCCUUUCCUUGA
This 62-nucleotide transfer RNA is filed under the name Rhadinosa nigrocyanea. Its description in RNAcentral is "tRNA-Pro". The record is from RNAcentral. Lineage: Eukaryota; Metazoa; Arthropoda; Insecta; Coleoptera; Chrysomelidae.